Molecule: non-coding RNA, 29 nt
Filed under: Mus musculus (house mouse)
Lineage: Eukaryota; Metazoa; Chordata; Mammalia; Rodentia; Muridae
Source: RNAcentral
UCUGCAUGCCCACACCCUACACACACUCC